GGGGAAUAUUGCACAAUGGAGGAAACUCUGAUGCAGCGACGCCGCGUGAACGAUGAAGGUCUUCGGAUCGUAAAGUUCUGUCCUAGGGGACGAUAGUGACGGUACCCUAGGAGGAAGCCCCGGCUAACUACGUGCCAGCAGCCGCGGUAAUACGUAGGGGGCGAGCGUUGUCCGGAAUUAUUGGGCGUAAAGGGUUCGUAGGCGGUCUUUUAAGUCAGAUGUGAAAGGUCACGGCUCAACCGUGGUAAGCAUUUGAAACUGAAGGACUUGAGUUAAGGAGAGGAAAGUGGAAUUCCUAGUGUAGCGGUGAAAUGCGUAGAUAUUAGGAGGAAUACCAGUGGCGAAGGCGACUUUCUGGACUUAAACUGACGCUGAGGAACGAAAGCGUGGGGAGCAAAC
RNAcentral lists this ribosomal RNA (399 nucleotides) under uncultured bacterium. RNAcentral's name for it is "bacterial SSU rRNA". It matches the Rfam family "Bacterial small subunit ribosomal RNA", at positions 356 to 773 of the family's 1533-position model. The record is from RNAcentral.